CUCCGACUUCAUGGGGUCGAGUUGCAGACCCCAAUCCGAACUGAGACCGGCUUUUUGGGAUUCGCUCCACCUUACGGUAUCGCAGCCCUCUGUACCGGCCAUUGUAGCAUGCGUGAAGCCCAAGACAUAAGGGGCAUGAUGAUUUGACGUCAUCCCCACCUUCCGCCGAGUUGACCCCGGCAGUCUCCCAUGAGUCCCCGGCAUAACCCGCUGGCAACAUAGGACGAGGGUUGCGCUCGUUGCGGGACUUAACCCAACAUCUCACGACACGAGCUGACGACAACCAUGCACCACCUGUGUACGAGUGUCCAAAGAGAACCCCGUCUCGGGGGCUUUCUCGUACAUGUCAAGCCUUGGUAAGGUUCUUCGCGUUGCAUCGAAUUAAUCCGCAUGCUCCGCCGCUUGUGCGGGCCCCCGUCAAUUCCUUUGAGUUUUAGCCUUGCGGCCGUACUCCCCAGGCGGGGCACUUAAUGCGUUAGCUGCGGCACGGAACUCGUGGAAUGAGCCCCACACCUAGUGCCCAACGUUUACGGCAUGGACUACCAGGGUAUCUAAUCCUGUUCGCUCCCCAUGCUUUCGCUCCCCAGCGUCAGUUGCGGCCCAGAGACCUGCCUUCGCCAUCGGUGUUCCUCCUGAUAUCUGCGCAUUCCACCGCUACACCAGGAAUUCCAGUCUCCCCUACCGCACUCUAGUCUGCCCGUACCCGAUGCAAGCCCGAGGUUGAGCCUCGGGAUUUCACACCAGACGCGACAGACCGCCUACGAGCUCUUUACGCCCAAUAAUUCCGGACAACGCUUGCGCCCUACGUAUUACCGCGGCUGCUGGCACGUAGUUAGCCGGCGCUUCUUCUGCAGGUACCGUCACUUGCGCUUCUUCCCUGCUGAAAGAGGUUUACAACCCGAAGGCCGUCAUCCCUCACGCGGCGUCGCUGCAUCAGGCUUGCGCCCAUUGUGCAAUAUUCCCCACUGCUGCCUCCCGUAGGAGUCUGGGCCGUGUCUCAGUCCCAGUGUGGCCGGUCGCCCUCUCAGGCCGGCUACCCGUCGACGCCUUGGUAGGCCAUCACCCCACCAACAAGCUGAUAGGCCGCGAGCCCAUCCCCCACCGAAAAACUUUCCAACCCACACCAUGCGAUGCGAGCUCAUAUCCGGUAUUAGACCCCGUUUCCAAGGCUUAUCCCGAAGUGGAGGGCAGGUUGCUCACGUGUUACUCACCCGUUCGCCACUGAUCCACCCAGCAAGCUGGGCUUCAC
This 1249-nucleotide ribosomal RNA is filed under the name uncultured bacterium. Its description in RNAcentral is "partial 16S ribosomal RNA". The record is from RNAcentral.